UUUCCGGUGCGCGCGCAGUGAGUGGAUCGCCAGAUGUAAGCUGCAAGUUUUCAUGUGGAGCUAACUACACCCCAAAGGCUAUUUUAAUAGCCACAGCACUGAGCAUCUUUGGCUUGGCUUUGAGCCAACUACACCCCAAAGACUCUAUUAGGGGCCACCUUAGAAUCACGGCACCUUUGGCUUU
Long non-coding RNA from Sinocyclocheilus rhinocerous, 184 nucleotides. RefSeq lists it as uncharacterized. The record is from RefSeq and is a predicted model, not a curated record. The transcript is spliced from 3 exons. Lineage: Eukaryota; Metazoa; Chordata; Actinopteri; Cypriniformes; Cyprinidae.